RNAcentral lists this ribosomal RNA (468 nucleotides) under uncultured bacterium. RNAcentral's name for it is "partial 16S ribosomal RNA". It matches the Rfam family "Bacterial small subunit ribosomal RNA", at positions 28 to 507 of the family's 1533-position model. The record is from RNAcentral.
GACGAACGCUGGCGGCGUGCUUAACACAUGCAAGUCGAACGGAAAGGCCCUGCUUUUGUGGGGUGCUCGAGUGGCGAACGGGUGAGUAACACGUGAGUAACCUGCCCUUGACUUUGGGAUAACUUCAGGAAACUGGGGCUAAUACCGGAUAGGAGCUCCUGCUGCAUGGUGGGGGUUGGAAAAUUUCGGCGGUUGGGGAUGGACUCGCGGCUUAUCAGCUUGUUGGUGGGGUAGUGGCUUACCAAGGCUUUGACGGGUAGCCGGCCUGAGAGGGUGACCGGCCACAUUGGGACUGAGAUACGGCCCAGACUCCUACGGGAGGCAGCAGUGGGGAAUAUUGCACAAUGGGCGGAAGCCUGAUGCAGCAACGCCGCGUGCGGGAUGACGGCCUUCGGGGUGUAAACCGCUGUCGCCUGUGACGAAGCGUGAGUGACGGUAAUGGGUAAAGAAGCACCGGCUAACUACGUG